Molecule: ribosomal RNA, 501 nt
Filed under: uncultured soil bacterium
Lineage: Bacteria
Description: bacterial SSU rRNA
Rfam family: Bacterial small subunit ribosomal RNA
Source: RNAcentral
AGAUUGAACGCUGGCGGCAUGCCUAACACAUGCAAGUCGAACGGGAGUAGCAAUACUCUAGUGGCGGACGGGUGAGGAAUACGUAGGAAUUUGCCCUUAAGUGGGGGAUAACCCGGGGAAACCCGGAUUAAUACCGCAUGACCUCGAAAGAGCAAAGUGGGGGAUCGCAAGACCUCACGCUUUUGGAGAAGCCUACGUCGGAUUAGCUAGUUGGUGAGGUAAUGGCUCACCAAGGCGACGAUCCGUAACUGGUCUGAGAGGAUGAUCAGUCACACCGGAACUGAGACACGGUCCGGACUCCUACGGGAGGCAGCAGUGGGGAAUAUUGGACAAUGGGCGCAAGCCUGAUCCAGCAAUGCCGCGUGUGUGAAGAAGGCCUUCGGGUCGUAAAGCAACGUUUAAGGUUAGGGAAGAAAAACGUCGACUACUAACACAGUAGAGUCUUGACGGUACCGACAGAAUAAGACACCGGACUAACUCUAGUCGACCAGACACGCCGUC